This 497-nucleotide ribosomal RNA is filed under the name uncultured bacterium. Its description in RNAcentral is "partial 16S ribosomal RNA". It matches the Rfam family "Bacterial small subunit ribosomal RNA", at positions 28 to 507 of the family's 1533-position model. The record is from RNAcentral.
GACGAACGCUGGCGGCGUGCCUAAUACAUGCAAGUUGAGCGCUGAAGGGUGGUACUUGUCCCAACUGGGUGAGCGGCGAACGGGUGAGUAACGCGUGGGUACUCUGCCUUUGAGCGGGGGACAACAUUUGGAAACGAAUGCUAAUACCGCAUAAGAACUUGAAACACAAGGUUCAAGUGUGAAAGAUGCAAUUGCUUCACUCAAAGCUGAUCACUCGUUGUGUUAGCUAGUUGGUGAGGUAAAGGCUCACCCAGGCGGUGAUACAUAGCCGAGCUGGGGGGGUGAACCGCCACCUCGGGACCGGGACACGGCCCAAACCUCUACGGGAGGCAGCAGGAGGGAAUCUUUGGACAAGGACGAAAGGCCGAACGCGCAACGCCGGGUGGGGGGAGAAGGGUCUCGGGUUGGUAAAGCCCGUUGGUAGGGAAGAACGGUCGUGAGAGUGGAAAGCUCAUGAAGUGACGGUACCUACACAGAAAGCGACGGCUAACUACGUG